GUAGGGAAUAUUGGGCAAUGGAUGCAAGUCUGACCCAGCCAUCCCGCGUGCCGGAAGAAGGCCCUCAGGGUUGUAAACGGCUUUUGACGGUGAAGAAUCGACAGGAUGCGUCCUGUUCUGACGGUAGCCGUUGAAUAAGCACCGGCUAACUCCGUGCCAGCAGCCGCGGUAAUACGGAGGGUGCGAGCGUUGUCCGGAUUUAUUGGGUUUAAAGGGUGCGUAGGCUGGAAGGUCAGUCAGCGGUGAAAAGCUGUCGCUUAACGAUAGUCUUGCCGCAGAUACUUCCUUUCUUGGAUGAGGAGGAGGCCACUGGAACGGAUGGUGUAGCGGUGAAAUGCAUAGAUAUCAUCCAGAACACCGAUUGCGAAGGCAGGUGGCUGUACCUUAAUCUACGCUGAUGCACGAAAGCAUGGGGAGCAAACAGGAUUAGAUACCCGAGUAGUCC
RNAcentral lists this ribosomal RNA (445 nucleotides) under uncultured bacterium. RNAcentral describes it as "partial 16S ribosomal RNA". It matches the Rfam family "Bacterial small subunit ribosomal RNA", at positions 354 to 796 of the family's 1533-position model. The record is from RNAcentral.